GACGAACGCUGGCGGCGUGCUUAACACAUGCAAGUCGAACGCUGAAGCUCAGCUUUUGUUGGGUGGAUGAGUGGCGAACGGGUGAGUAACACGUGAGUAACCUGCCCCCUUCUUUGGGAUAACGCCCGGAAACGGGUGCUAAUACUGGAUAUUCACUGGUCUUCGCAUGGGGGUUGGUGGAAAGGGUUUUUCUGGUGGGGGAUGGGCUCGCGGCCUAUCAGCUUGUUGGUGGGGUGAUGGCCUACCAAGGCUUUGACGGGUAGCCGGCCUGAGAGGGUGACCGGUCACAUUGGGACUGAGAUACGGCCCAGACUCCUACGGGAGGCAGCAGUGGGGAAUAUUGCACAAUGGGCGAAAGCCUGAUGCAGCGACGCCGCGUGAGGGAUGGAGGCCUCCGGGUUGUGAACCUCUUUCGCUCAUGGUCAAGCCGCAACAAUGGUUGUGGUGAGGGGAGUGGGUAAAGAAGCGCCGGCUAACUACG
RNAcentral lists this ribosomal RNA (481 nucleotides) under uncultured bacterium. RNAcentral describes it as "partial 16S ribosomal RNA". It matches the Rfam family "Bacterial small subunit ribosomal RNA", at positions 28 to 505 of the family's 1533-position model. The record is from RNAcentral.